RNAcentral lists this ribosomal RNA (420 nucleotides) under uncultured bacterium. Its description in RNAcentral is "partial 16S ribosomal RNA". It matches the Rfam family "Bacterial small subunit ribosomal RNA", at positions 361 to 773 of the family's 1533-position model. The record is from RNAcentral.
AUAUUGGACAAUGGGCGAAAGCCUGAUCCAGCCAUCCCGCGUGUGGGAAGAAGGUCUUCGGAUUGUAAAGCACCUUACGUUGGGAGGAAGGGAAGUAAGUUAAUACCUUGCUGUUUUGACGUUACCGACAGAAUAAACACCGGGUAACUUCGUGCGCGCAGCCGCGGUAAUACGAAGGGUGCAAGCGUUAAUCGGAAUUACUGGGGGUAAAACGCGCGUAGGUGGUUUGUUAAGUUGGAAGUGAAAGCCCCGGGCUCAACCUGGGAACUGCUUUCAUAACUGCUGAGCUAGAGUACGGUAGAGGGUAGUGGAAUUUCCUGUGUAGCGGUGAAAUGCGUAGAUAUAGGAAGGAACACCAGUGGCGAAGGCGACUACCUGGACUGAUACUGACACUGAGGUGCGAAAGCGUGGGGAGCAAAC